GAAUGUCAUCUUGCUGUUUUAGAAAGGCAGCCUUAGCCAAAACUAGAUUGUUCCUAGCAGUAAUUACCGAAUUAAAGGAAAACACUUUCUUGUGAAAGUUUAAUGGCAUACUGUGAACAAGGCCAAAUUCACCCCUUAAUCACACUACAGUCAUUUUAAAGUAACAACAAAGAAAACCGAGGGCUUUGCGCCAAAAAGAGUUCGCCCCUGUACACCACAAUUUUAAGAUAAAGCUGCCAGCUAAGUGAUAUCUUUUGAGCCCACCAGAGAUCCAUUACUGCCUUAACAGUACUCACAAUGCAGAAGAUAACUUUUUCUACUGAAAUGUUAUGACUUUAUUCGAGUUUAUUAGUUUUCCCUUUCCCCUCCACGCCUCCGUAUGAGAAGUCAAAGUUAUAAGUCUAACUUUGCAAUUUCUCUGUAAUCUGUUGCAUCCUUUCUAGAGAAAACCAGGAAGGGCCCACCGGAAGACGAGGAAAGUGGACCGUCGCCUCUACAGGGUGAAAUGUGGCAAUCCCCACGUCUAGUGCUCACGCACUUUACGUGUGCUCAACACUUACUUGCUGAUGAUGAAAUGAAUGUGCUGUUGGUGGAAACACUAUUAAGCAAGUGGCAAGGAAAACAUUCUAUGAAACAAUUGGGCCAGUUAUAACCUGCUUCCCCUAUCAUCGCGCCAAUUUUAUGCAAUCAUCGUCUACAAAACUGAGCAUUUAUCAUCACUGUGCAGAAUCCGAACACGACUCCCGGGAGUGUGCAGCACACUUGCCUCCAGCCGGAGCUCUACUCUUCGGAAGGCGCCUGGCAGAGAGCGCGGCUCUGCACGUGCGCUGAAAGGCGGGAGGUCAUUCCGCCCGCGGCCCUCCAGGUGAAGGAGCCAAGACCCAGAGAGCUUCAGGAUCUGACCCUUGCCAAGAAGUGGUACAAAAAUACGAAUGAACAAGGGGGAAUGUGGCCCUAAAUGUUGUCAGCGACUGCAGACCCAGAAGAUGAUUGGCAACCCAACUUCAAGUCUUAGGUGACAAGUCUUCGGGCAUGGUCAGCAAAGUACUUAAAGGGUCCCUCUCCUUGACUGACUGACUUUAACUGUCUUCUCAGCCUCACAGUUUGGCUGCUCCAUCCUUUCCUCUUCUGCUCCGUCUUCCUCGACUUAGACGAUGGGGCACCUCUGGAUAUGUAAAUCCAAACCAGUGACAAUCCAGGUUCUAAUUCUGAUGGUUUAAUCCAACUGGAAGAGAAUCUUUGGCCUGUCAAUGACAAAAUGGUUUAUAAAGAAGAAAAAAUAAAUACCAUAUACAAGUAAGUAUAACUAGCAUUCAAGUCUGUUGCACCUGUGUGUUUUAGUGAAAAGGAAGCAUGAAACCUGUAUGUUAUCUAGUGUGAGUAUUCACACAUCUAGGAAAUGGGAAAAGAUGGCAGGAUGGCAACAUCACCUAUUGCACAUUUAAGAAUAGCACUUUAAAUCGAAAUACAACUCCCCCGACGGCAUAGUCUUGUGAUGAGGGACAGUUAACUUGCGAGUUCUCGAGUCCUACGGGAACAAUGUGUGCAGAGGCAGCGCCAGGUUAGGACGGCCACUCUGUUAGCGCCGAGACGGGAGCCCUCUUCAGCUAGGCUAAGCGGGAAGAUGUCACGUGAGCGCCACCCGGCGGUCCCUGUCCCGGCACGUGUAAGUCAGCCACACCAAAACAACAAAGGCAACCCGGAAAGUUAAAUUAAGGCAGUGAAAGAAAAAUCCAUUCCAACAGUCUUAGAUUUGGCUGUGCAAAACCGGAGCCUCAGGCUACAUGACCACGUCCACAGUUGAAACUGCUCAGUUCGUACUGUGUGCAGUCUGUCUGAAGUUAAUAUUCCAGGGAUGGAGCAGCCUUUUAAGUCCGUUUCGAUUCGAGUUGGGAGGGGGAGGGUGCAGUUUGGGAACUGUGAAGCUUUUUCUGGCCCCCUUUAAGAGUAGCUUUCAUUUUCAUUCCACCUUGUGAUCCACUGUUUUUUUUCAAGGUUAUCAUUAUAUUUUUCAUCUUUGAUCUCCCGCUCUUCCUUCCGGAUCCUCACAGCAUGGUAUCGGGGAACGCUAUCAUCGUACCUAGAGCGUUUAAAGAAUCCGCACUGACGAAGGGGAAAGAGAAACAGAAACAAACUAAGUAUCUCAAGAAAAGCAAAUGCACAAAAUGGGAAUGUCUAAGCUUUCUGUUCAGCUACGCCUACCUUUGGAUGAAGGGGAAAAAAUAAACAUGGUUUCUUUUAAGAAGGAACUAAUAGGUCCAAAAGACAUACCAGCAGUGGGGAUAAACAGAAGAGAAGACAGCUGUAACAUUGGAAGAAAAGUCCGUUUUUCCAUUGUGUCUCUACUAACAAACUUAAGAGUUACGGAAAAAUGCUUCCAUUUUUUAUAAUCACGAUAUUAUAUGUUAAAGAUCUAAUUUUUAGGUUAAAAAGAUUGGUCUUUAAAAAUGAUAUUCUAAUAAAGGCCAUAAACCAAAGAUUAUUCAUACCCCUUUCCCACUAACAAAAUGGAAUCAGAUCACAAAUAUUUUACAAGUUACUAUUUAAAUAUGUCAGUGUUCAAAUGGGCCAAUUUAAGAAUCCUCUCUCCUCCAAGGCUCAGCACAUAUCUCUCAUUAGCUACCAGGCAAUUUACACUGCCUGGAUUUCCUGUUGUGCUUAUAAAUUAAGCUGUUUCAUUAAUAAAUCAUGUAGUAACUGUG
Long non-coding RNA from Felis catus (domestic cat), 2702 nucleotides. RefSeq lists it as uncharacterized. The transcript has 3 exons. Lineage: Eukaryota; Metazoa; Chordata; Mammalia; Carnivora; Felidae. The record is from RefSeq and is a predicted model, not a curated record.